UUUUCCUACGGGACGCAGCAGUCGGGAAUAUUGCGCAAUGGAGGAAACUCUGACGCAGUGACGCCGCGUAUAGGAAGAAGGUUUUCGGAUUGUAAACUAUUGUCGUGAGGGAAGAGAUUGACAGUACCUCAGGAGGAAGCUCCGGCUAACUAUGUGCCAGCAGCCGCGGUAAUACAUAGGGAGCGAGCGUUAUCCGGAUUUAUUGGGUGUAAAGGGUGCGUAGACGGGAAAUUAAGUUAGUUGUGAAAUCCCUCGGCUUAACUGAGGAACUGCAACUAAAACUGGUUUUCUCGAGUACUGGAGAG
This 305-nucleotide ribosomal RNA is filed under the name uncultured bacterium. RNAcentral's name for it is "bacterial SSU rRNA". It matches the Rfam family "Bacterial small subunit ribosomal RNA", at positions 334 to 656 of the family's 1533-position model. The record is from RNAcentral.